UACGUAGGGCGCAAGCGUUGUCCGGAAUUAUUGGGCGUAAAGAGCUCGUAGGCGGCUUGUCACGUCGGGUGUGAAAGCCCGGGGCUUAACCCCGGGUCUGCAUUCGAUACGGGCAGGCUAGAGUGUGGUAGGGGAGAUCGGAAUUCCUGGUGUAGCGGUGAAAUGCGCAGAUAUCAGGAGGAACACCGAUGGCGAAGGCAGCUCGCUGGGACGGUACUGACGCUGAGGCGCGAAAGCGUGGGGAGCAAACAGG
Molecule: ribosomal RNA, 253 nt
Filed under: uncultured bacterium
Lineage: Bacteria
Description: partial 16S ribosomal RNA
Rfam family: Bacterial small subunit ribosomal RNA
Source: RNAcentral